RNAcentral lists this ribosomal RNA (301 nucleotides) under uncultured bacterium. RNAcentral's name for it is "partial 16S ribosomal RNA". It matches the Rfam family "Bacterial small subunit ribosomal RNA", at positions 509 to 807 of the family's 1533-position model. The record is from RNAcentral.
CAGCCGCCGCGGUAAUACGUAGGUGGCAAGCGUUGUCCGGAAUUAUUGGGCGUAAAGGGCUCGCAGGCGGUUUCUUAAGUCUGAUGUGAAAGCCCCCGGCUCAAUCGGGGAGGGUCAUUGGAAACUGGGAAACUUGAGUGCAGAAGAGGAGAGUGGAAUUCCACGUGUAGCGGUGAAAUGCGUAGAGAUGUGGAGGAACACCAGUGGCGAAGGCGACUCUCUGGUCUGUAACUGACGCUGAGGAGCGAAAGCGUGGGGAGCGAACAGGAUUAGAUACCCGUGUAGUCCCUGUCUCUUAUAC